Salvia splendens (bonfire salvia) is the source of this 401-nucleotide long non-coding RNA. RefSeq lists it as uncharacterized. The record is from RefSeq and is a predicted model, not a curated record. NCBI's taxonomy places the organism in Eukaryota, Viridiplantae, Streptophyta, Magnoliopsida, Lamiales, Lamiaceae. The transcript is spliced from 4 exons.
AGGUAUUAUACUACUAAAGAAGGAGAUAAAAGAAAGGAAAGGAAUGCCAAGAAGAUCUUUUAAAAGCAUGGAAUACAAAAGAGGUUCAUUGAAACCCUAAAAAAAGCAGCCGCAUCCUCUCUACCCAAACGAAAAAGAGAUGAAAAUAUCAACAUAGGCUGGUAUCUACCUACACAGAGCUUGGAAAGGUGCAGAGGAGUGAUUCAUCCAUGAGAAACUCUUCAGCUACACGUGCAAAUGUGGAAAAUCAGUGCUAAUCAAAAGUUUUAUGCACGGAUUACCAAAUAUUUGAGGAUGAGAAACUAUGUAUCUCUACACAGUUUGAAGUGCAAAGGUUACCAAAGGAUUUAAGGAUGAGAAAUUUUGAAACUCUCACAGUCUAAGUGCAAAGGUUAUGAAUU